Salmo salar (Atlantic salmon) is the source of this 58-nucleotide non-coding RNA. The record is from Rfam. Lineage: Eukaryota; Metazoa; Chordata; Actinopteri; Salmoniformes; Salmonidae.
UGUCUCGGUUGGUAGAGCAUGGUGUUUGCAACGCCAGGGUUGUGGGUUCGAUUCCCAC